This 922-nucleotide ribosomal RNA is filed under the name uncultured bacterium. RNAcentral's name for it is "bacterial SSU rRNA". It matches the Rfam family "Bacterial small subunit ribosomal RNA", at positions 574 to 1498 of the family's 1533-position model. The record is from RNAcentral.
GGUCGUUAGUUACGUCGGGUGUGAAAAUCUGGGGCUCAACCCCAGACCUGCACUCGAUACGGGCUAGCUAGAGUUUGGUAGGGGAGACUGGAAUUCCUGGUGUAGCGGUGGAAUGCGCAGAUAUCAGGAGGAACACCAAUGGCGAAGGCAGGUCUCUGGGCCAAUACUGACACUGAGGAGCGAAAGCGCGGGGAGCGAACAGGAUUAGAUACCCUGGUAGUCCGCGCCGUAAACGAUGGGCGCUAGUUGUGGGGACCUUCCACGGUCUCUGCGACGCAGCUAACGCAUUAAGCGCCCCGCCUGGGGAGUACGAUCGCAAGAUUAAAACUCAAAGGAAUUGACGGGGCCCCGCACAAGCAGCGGAGCAUGCGGCUUAAUUCGACGCAACGCGAAGAACCUUACCAAGGCUUGACAUAUACCGAAAAGCAGCAGAGAUGUUGUGUCCGCAAGGGCGGUAUACAGGUGGUGCAUGGUUGUCGUCAGCUCGUGUCGUGAGAUGUUGGGUUAAGUCCCGCAACGAGCGCAACCCUCGUUCUGUGUUGCCAGCAUUAAGUUGGGGACUCACAGGAGACUGCCGUGGUCAACACGGAGGAAGGUGGGGAUGACGUCAAAUCAUCAUGCCCCUUAUGUCUUGGGCUGCACGCAUGCUACAAUGGCAGGUACAAAGGGCUGCAAUACCGUAAGGUGGAGCGAAUCCCAAAAAGUCUGUCUCAGUUCGGAUUGAGGUCUGCAACUCGACCUCAUGAAGUCGGAGUUGCUAGUAAUCGUAGAUCAGCAACGCUACGGUGAAUACGUUCCCGGGGCUUGUACACACCGCCCGUCACGUCACGAAAGUCGGUAACACCCAAAGUCAGUGGCCCAACCGCAAGGAGGGAGCUGCCUAAGGUGGGAUCGGUGAUUGGGACGAAGUCGUAACAAGGUA